Molecule: ribosomal RNA, 403 nt
Filed under: uncultured bacterium
Lineage: Bacteria
Description: bacterial SSU rRNA
Rfam family: Bacterial small subunit ribosomal RNA
Source: RNAcentral
AACGAACGGUAGCGGCGUGGAUUAGGCAUGCAAGUCGCACGUGAUCCUUGCUUCGGUGAGGUGAAAGUGGCGAAAGGGUGAGUAAUGCAUAGCUAACCUACCCCCGACCUUGGGAUAACCAGGAGAAAUCUUGGCUAAUACCAAAUAGGCUGGCUUGGUCGCAUGAUCGAGUUUAGUAAAGGAGGCCUCUUAACAAUGCUUCCGGUUGGGGACGGAACUAUGUCCUAUCAGCUAGUUGGUGGGGUAAUGGCCCACCAAGGCGAUGACGGGUAGCCGACCUGAGAGGGUGACCGGCCACACUGGGACUGAGAACUGCCCAGACUCCUACGGGAGGCUGCAGUCGAGAAUCUUCCGCAAUGGGGGCAACCCUGACGGAGCGACGCCGCGUGCGGGAUGAAGGCCU